Long non-coding RNA from Gossypium arboreum, 472 nucleotides. RefSeq lists it as uncharacterized. NCBI's taxonomy places the organism in Eukaryota, Viridiplantae, Streptophyta, Magnoliopsida, Malvales, Malvaceae. The transcript is spliced from 2 exons. The record is from RefSeq and is a predicted model, not a curated record.
UGAUUACCCGUUAAAAUGAUAAACAAAAAUCUUACGUGGUAAACGGAAAUCUGAAACCCACCUCUCCCUUUCACCUGCCUACUUGGUGCUUCCAUUGCCUCCCUUUGGGUGGAGAUGAAGCUGACGAAGAAAUCCAAGAAGAAACAUAGGGUUUCCAGUGGGUCUUCCCCGAGCUGAGGUUCGCUUUUUGCAAACUUGUUCAAAUGUUUCUAAGUGUGGGGUUUGUCGAAACGGCGAAUGAUGAACCAGACAAGGUCGUGUGCGGGGAAAGAUGGAGGGAUGGCAAUGGAAGCACCGAGCAGGCAGGUCAAGGGGAGAGGUUUCAUUUAUCAUUUUAACAAGAGUAAUCAAAAUAAUUGAACUAUCUUACCUGAGUAUCUAAAUUAUAAACUUUUUUUUUUUAUUUUGGGUGUUUAAAAUGAAAAUGUUUGAUAAUUGAGUGACUAUCUAUGCAGUUUAUCCUUAAAUUAAA